CUCUUCGGAGAGCGAGUACAGUGGCAACGGGUGAGUAACACGUGGGUAAUCUGCCCUUAGGUUCGGGAACAACACUUCUAACGAGGUGCUAAUACCGAAUAACAAGGCCGAUUGCAGGAUCCGGGUUUUUAAAGGUGGCCUCUACUUGUAAGCUGCCGCCUGAGGAUGAGCCCGCGUCGUAUUAGCUUGUUGGUGGGGUAAUGGCCUACCAAGGCAACGAUGCGUAGCCGGCCUGAGAGGGUGAACGGCCACACUGGAACUGAGACAAGGUCCAGUCUCCUACGGGAGCCAGCAGUCUAGAAAUUUGCACAAUCGUCGAAAGGCGGAUGCAGCGACACCACGUGGAGGAUGAAGCCCUUCGGGGUGUAAACUCCUGUCAGUUGGGAAGAAGGCGCGAGUGUUAAUACCACUCGUUGCUUGACGGUACCUUCAGAGGAAGCUCCGGCUAACUACGUG
RNAcentral lists this ribosomal RNA (456 nucleotides) under uncultured bacterium. Its description in RNAcentral is "bacterial SSU rRNA". It matches the Rfam family "Bacterial small subunit ribosomal RNA", at positions 75 to 507 of the family's 1533-position model. The record is from RNAcentral.